RNAcentral lists this ribosomal RNA (230 nucleotides) under uncultured bacterium. RNAcentral's name for it is "partial 16S ribosomal RNA". It matches the Rfam family "Bacterial small subunit ribosomal RNA", at positions 562 to 791 of the family's 1533-position model. The record is from RNAcentral.
AAAGCGCACGUAGGCGGCUUUGUAAGUUAGAGGUGAAAGCCUGGUGCUCAACAUCAGAAUUGCCUUUAAGACUGCAUCGCUUGAAUCCAGGAGAGGUGAGUGGAAUUCCGAGUGUAGAGGUGAAAUUCGUAGAUAUUCGGAAGAACACCAGUGGCGAAGGCGGCUCACUGGACUGGUAUUGACGCUGAGGUGCGAAAGCGUGGGGAGCAAACAGGAUUAGAUACCCGAGU